RNAcentral lists this ribosomal RNA (305 nucleotides) under uncultured bacterium. RNAcentral's name for it is "bacterial SSU rRNA". It matches the Rfam family "Bacterial small subunit ribosomal RNA", at positions 337 to 657 of the family's 1533-position model. The record is from RNAcentral.
UCCUACGGGGCGCAGCAGUGGGGAAUAUUGGGCAAUGGGCGCAAGCCUGACCCAGCAACGCCGCGUGAAGGAAGAAGGCUUUCGGGUUGUAAACUUCUUUUAAGAGGGAAGAGAAGAAGACGGUACCUCUUGAAUAAGCCACGGCUAACUACGUGCCAGCAGCCGCGGUAAUACGUAGGUGGCAAGCGUUGUCCGGAUUUACUGGGUGUAAAGGGAGCGCAGGCGGCGCGUUAAGCCUGGUGUGAAAGCCCGCGGCCCAACCGCGGGACUGCAUUGGGAACUGGCGCGCUGGAGUGCCGGCGGGG